Molecule: long non-coding RNA, 42423 nt
Filed under: Panax ginseng (ginseng)
Lineage: Eukaryota; Viridiplantae; Streptophyta; Magnoliopsida; Apiales; Araliaceae
Description: long non-coding RNA (PGIN_LNC001616)
Source: RNAcentral
GCUUUGAUACCAACUGUGACGCCCCCAAAAUAAGUAUACAUCACCCAUCUUGAGUCGCCAAAUACAUGGCACAUAAAUCAAAUACAAACUUAAUUAUACAACUGUCGUGUAAAAUACGACAACAUAUAUGCUGUGAGUUUUAAUACAAAUAUUGUCAUCUAGACAAUAUCCACACUCAAUGGAGUCCUCAUUACAUUUAUUAUCACACUAUUUUAUAGAAUAGUGAGGACUACUAUGACACCAUCUCGGACCGUUACUUCGUUUCCCAACUAGUCCCGACUACGUUCUCAUUUCCUGAAGAGAACAAUGAAAGCAAAAAGGGUGGGCUCAACUAGACCAGUAAGAAAUAUUAUGACUAAGAUAAUGCAGAAUAAAUUAUCGUUAGCCUUCAACAAUGUUAAACUAAUAAAAUAUAACAAACAUCAAGUUUAACUGCAGCAGAACAAUCAAUCCAUUAGAAGUGUGAGACCCCAAAUUUUACGAAUAAAGAUUUAAUUUUCUCAUAAUAUAUUUUUUUAAUAUUAUGAUGUGGAUUUGAUAUAAUGUUAUAGUUGUGGGUAGUAUUUAUAAAUUUUGCAAAGUACGCAAGUUGUUAUAUAAUAUUCGAUUGGUCGGGGAAUAUUCGUUUUAACAGGAAAUAUUUGUACGACGGCACAAUCAUUGGUGGACCCCACAACAGAAUUAUUGUUGGAUUGAGAAAACAACAAAAAUAUUUUAUUGAAAAUAACGGCGGAAGUUUUACCGUUGAUACUGUUGAACUACUCGGUAGUAAAAGUACAGUAAUACGUGUGGUUGCAUAGUAGCACACAAUAUUGAUUUUUGAUGCUUAUGUGAGAAGUCAUUCAGUUUUAUUCAAUUAUUGUCGAUAUUUUAUAUGUUAUUAAAUAAAUAAUUGAGAUGACGAAGUUGUUAAUAUUAUUAUUUGCAUUAUUAACGAUGUCUAGAAGUUCUGCCAAGGAGAGGUUUGGUCACCUAAUUGCGCGCCAAUAGGGAGAAAUCCUUAUUGGAAAGCCCCCUCUUUCCUGGGAAUGACCUGGUCGAUUAAUGGUGUGAAUAAUAAUAAUGAUGAUGAUGUUUUGUUUUAUUCGUAUUAUUAACGUAAUAAAACAGAAAAACUUUUAAUAUAAACCAGAAUACUUUUAUAAAGUUAUUUAUAAAUAGAAUAUAUUAUAUUCUAUUAUGCAUAGUAAAAUCUUUUUAUAUAAAAUAGAAUAUAUUAUGUUUUAUUUAAAAGAUUUUGCUUUAAAUAUGGACUGUCCGAUUAAAGUAAAUUAAUCUGGACUGUUCACGGAUUGGUUACUAUUCAUUCCAUUCUUCUAUAAAUAGAAGCUCAUUCCUUCUUUUUUUUUCUUAUGAAUUCAUUGAAACUCUAGAGAGAGAAACUAUAGAGAGAAAGAAGAAAAGUAUUCUGCUACUUCACUACUUCUUUAUUCAGUUCUUCUUUAUACGGUAAGGGAUAUUAUUUGUUGUACCCGUAAGGGGUGUUAUUUCUUUUGUAUUCAUGAAGAGAACUUCUGUUAUUCCAUCUUUAUUAUUCUGUUGGAAUAACCUGUAUACGCGGGCUACCCUAUACUUGGUGAAAUUCUUCUGUAUUCCAUUCUUUAUUAUUCUGUUGGAAUAUCCUGUCUGUGCUUUACGCAUGACCUGGUUCCGUCUUUAUUAUUCUGUUGAAAUAUCUUGUCUGUGCUAUACGCCGGACCUAGUUCCGUCUUUAUUAUUCUGUUGGAAUAUCCUGUCUCUGCUUUACGCCGGACCUGGUUCCGUUUUUAUUAUUCAUUUAUUCUGUUGGAACAUCCUGUCGGUGUGAAUUUCACCUGACCUGGUUCCGUUAUUUAGUAUUCUGUUGGAAUAACCUGUCUAUGCGAAAUACCGCAUGCAUGGUGAUUUCUGUUGUUAUUCCGUUCCUUAUUAUUCUGUUAGAACAUCCUGUCGGUAUGAAUUUCACCUGACCUGGUUUCAUUAUUUAUUAUUCUAUUGGAAUAACCUGUCUAUGCGAAGUACCGCAUGCAUGGUGAUUUCUUUUGUUAUUUCAUUCUUUAUUAUACUCAUUUGGUUAAAGUUUUGACUUCUAUACUCCAUGAAAUUAGUGGAAUAUCCUUGAUAUUUGCGCUUCAUCCAGUAUCUUUUCAUGGAAAUAUUCUUCUGAGCAUUCUUGAAUUUUACUCUACAAAGAAGUAUCAUGUUGACAAUUUGGACGUUAUUAGUUCCUGGAUAAAUUAAUUCUUGAACUUGUUUUAUUGAAUUCUUAUAUCAUUGUCAUCAUCCUCAUGUUUAUAUUUUGUUGAAAGUCAUCUGUGGCCUGUAGUGCAUAGAUGGACUUGGUAUGAUUAUGACCAGGGAUUAUUCGGUGUAAUCAUGACCGUAAUAUUACAAAUGAUGUGGUAAAAGUCCUCAUUGGCCUGUAGUGCAUUGAUGGACAGUGGUUGGCAUGAUCAUGACCAUUGAUGAAUACACGAAUAUCAUUGGCCCGUAGUGCAUGGAUAAUUUGUGGUUGUGACCCUAAUGAAUAUCAUUGGCCGUAGUGCAGGGAUGAUGUGGAUUAUUUAUUAAGCUGAGUCUCAGCGAUAAAAGUGAUGUAAUCAUUAUUAAACCCUACUUAAUUUUUGAACGUUAUCACUAUAUACGUGAUUUAAGAUUGAUGUUUACCAUAUAUAUUAAGUGCAUACAUGUUCUACUAUUUGUUUCCAAUUAAUUAGGAUUAUGAACCUAACUUGUCUAUCAAAAUCCCAAUGUCGGCCUUGCGGCGCCAAACACUAACGCACCACUGGCGCUGCGACGCGAGUUAGUAGUGGAUAAAGUCCAGUCUCGGCGCUGCAAUGCGAGAUCUAAGCAUACCAGUGGCACUGCGGCACCACUCUUCCAUAACUAAUUCCUAUAUACCCGGCGCUGUGGCGCAGAGUUUAGUACUGGGGUUGGCGCUGCGGCGCCUCCCCUAAGCCUCAGAUGGUUUUGUCAGUUUGAUUUUUCUAUGAAAUUCCCGUGCUCAUAACUUAUUCGUUUUACAUCUAAUUUGGCUCGUUCAAAAGACAUUAGCUCCUAAAUCACAUACACUAUGAUUCCAUUAGAAUAUAUUUAUUUUUGAAUCUUUUAACAUGGAAUUCACUGUUUAGUUCAUUAUCGAGCGCUCGUUUAUCGUUCACGAGCGUUCAUAGCUCAUUUUAUUUGUUAUAAGUCAAAAUUCGACUAUUCUUGAGUCUACGACUCUUCAAUACCAUAUCUCACGUGAUGCCAUUGAAAACAAAAGUUUCCAAGCUACACGAAACUUUUGACUACUAAUCCAAGAUUUAUACAUUUUCAACGUUUAACGCCGAAUCUCAGAAAUUUUUCCAUAACUUCGUUACUCGUGUUCUCUACGCCAAAUCAAAUGGAAUAACUCCAUUGAUUCAUCAUCUACAUCCUAACCAAGAAAUAUGCACAUACCCUAACAAUGAUGGUUUUCAAUUUGUCCAUCAACAACCAAGUUAACGUUCAAAUGUUUAUUCAGUUUAAACUUACGUAACUACUUAUGAUUUCUACUUAAACAUGACUUAUCAAUGUUUUAAUCAUUAAUAGCCAUCCUUAUUCUUCCGGAAGAGACAUGCUCCACCAAUCUACGAUUCUCUAUGAAAAAACAAAUCAAAAAGGUCGAAGACUAAUGAUUUACGAAUUAUUACCUUUUCGUUCUUCACGUUCUUGCUAAAAACUCUUAUGCUUUGCUUCAAGGAAGCUUGAUUACUUGUUUCUAGCUCUUUCUCUCUCGUAAUAUAUGUUGGCUAAUGUUUGUAAAAUAACAAAUUACAAACUAAAGCUUCUCUAUAUAGGAAGUUCAAAUGGAGGGUAAAAUGGUCAUCGUACCCAACCUCCUUACUAUUCAUGGCUUAGCCACCUAGUAAAAACUUUACUUGGUGGCCAAGUGGUCAGUCCACAAGGUCCAUGGGUCUCCCAAAUGGGUUUCCCCAUGGGUUUUACCCAUUCGGUGACCCGUUAAUUCGAUCCGCGAUUCGGUUCUUGGAUCGGGCUUGAUUUAACCUAACAUUGGGCCUUAACUUGGGCUUAAUUACACCAUUCAUUGGGCUUGAUAUAAUCCAAGUCCAAUUGGAUUCUACAAAGUCCAUAAACUCAAAGUCCAUUAAGACUAAUCGUAUUCUAUGCAUUCAAUUCUCGUAUUCUCUUCGUUUAGUAUUUAUACGAUAUUCGUAUUAUACGUCGUAAUAUUCUUCAUACUGAACUUGUAUACUAACUACUAUCAUACUUAUAUAUCACACGUAUAAUAACCCUAAUCAUUAUACGCACUUCAUUUUCUUCUCAAAAAUCACUUUUCCUAACCCUUAGGUUUAAGUGCACAGACAAAAACUUGAUUUUCCAUAACUGAAAUAUUAUUGGAUAUUCCAUCUCGUCUUCGUAUUCUAUCAUUACGCAGUUCUCGAAAAUUCAAAGUUAAUUCUUGAGUAGAAGCGGUUAGUAUUUUUACAGAAAUUUCUCGAAAAAGUUUUAUUUUCGUCUUGGAAAUUCAAAACAAAAAAUUCUAGCACAUAACCAGAAUCAUAACCACAUCCGUACAUUUUAGGUCAUAGAAUGACCUUCAUAUAGCAUACUCACAUAAAUAAUCAAUUAAAUUCAUUUAAUCCACAUAAUCAAAUAAAAAAUUAAUUAAUUUAAAAAUCCAUUUUUCUCAGGCGUUACAUCAUCCCCCUUAUAAGGAUUCUGUCCCUAGAAUCUAGCUACAAUUACAUAAAUAAAUGAGGAAAAUUUUCCUUCAUUUUACUUUCGAGUUCCCAAGUUGCUUCUUCGACAUUGUGGUUCCUCCAAAUCACCUUCACCGAAGGUAUUAUCUUAUUUCUUAAGACUUGUUCCUUCUUAUCAACAAUUUGAACUGAAAGUUCUUCAUACGUUAAGUCUUUCUCUAUCUGAAUAGAUUUAUAAUCUAAUACGUGUUUAUAGUUUGGUUUAUAAGGACGCAACACAGACACGUGAAACACAUUAUGUAUACCUUUCAUUUCUGGAGGUAGAGCUACUUCAUAAGCUACCUCUCCUACCCUACUUAAAAUUUAAAACGGUCCUAUAAACCUUGGACUUAACAUCCCUUUCUUCCCAAAAUGUGUGUUCCCUUUCCAAGGCGAUAGUUUAAGAAAGACAUAUGAACCUACUUCAAAUUCCCUCUUCUCUCGGUGAGGAUCUGCAUACUUCUUCUACCUAUCUUGAGCUGCUACCAAUCGAGUACGUAUUAACUUUACCAUGUCCGCCAUCUGUUGUACCAUCUCAGGUCCCAACAUUCGACGUUCACCUACUUCCUCCCAACACAGUGGAGUUUUGCACUUCCUCCCAUACAACGUUUACUUUGUCCAUCCGUGUAAUACCCAGAAAAUAAUAAAAAAUAAUAAUAGCAAUAAAUAAAUAAAUAACAUUUAUUUUAAAUUAUAUUAAUUGUACUUUUCUUUUAUUUAGGUCAAAUUAGUCAUUUACUUUUGGGCUAAUAAGUAUUAAUAAAUGAUGGAUAAAUUAAAUUAAUAAAACUGGGCUUUAAACUAAGUGGGUCUAAUUUAUAAUUGUGUAAUUUUAAAAUCCUAUUAAAAUUUGGAGAGUUAAUAAAUAUAUUAAUUAAUAAAAUAUAUUUUUAAGUGAAUAAAUAAUUAAACCUAAUCUUAUUUUCAGUAUACCACCUGAGAAAGAGAAAAAGGAGAAAGCCGCCUCUUAUUCUAAUUUUGAGAAAAGUGCGUAUCAGAAUAGAAAAGGAACAUAGGUUUGUUUGUUCGUUCUUUUCCAUUUUUUCACAUCUUUGUAUAUAAAUUGUUACUAUGUGUUUAAUUUCUUUUAGUUUACAAUUAAGAAUUGAAAAGUGUACAUGGUUAAUCAUUAUGUACAUCAGGCUUUUUUUUGGUGUUUCAAUCAAGGAAAUCUAACAACUACGCAUGGUCUAAUGUUAUAUAUAUAUAUAUAUAUAUAUAUAUAUAUAUAUAUAUAUAUAUAUAUAUAUUAGAGUUACUGUUUUGUCUAAAAUAAUAAAAGGGUAAUGAUUAAAAUAUUAAUUUGAAUUUAAUUUGAAUUUGUAUCAUGAACUAAUGUAAAUUAGGAAAUAAAUUCAUGUUAUUAUAAAUUAUAUUUAUUAUUAUUUUGUUCAAUUAGUUCGAACGGAAGGAAUUUAACGAACUAUAUUGGGAUAAUAAUUUUGGGUAUUACAUUGCUUAAUCCAGGUAUAGAUUUCAUACUCCUUCAGCGAUACUCUUAUUAAAUUAAGUUUUUUCGUUUUGUUUUUGGUUUCAAAAUUAGUUAUUGUUUCCCAUAAUUAUUCAUUCUCAAAUUUAUGUGAUAGUUUCGUCUUGGUAUUGAUACUUAGGACUCGUGUUUGUACUCUUGACCUAGUGUAUCAUCUUUUGUAUUUAUUUUGAUAUUUGUAGAAAGUACAUGUUAAUAUUUUUGGAGACUUUACGUUGAUGAUUCGUUUCAGUUUAACAUGUAUAUGUUAGAACCCUUUGUGUUGAUAUUUUUUUGCAUAUGUUGUGACAUUAUAUCUUUGUUAGAAUACCGUACCACAGGCAUGUCCUCUUGGAACCGAGGCACGACACCUUCCAUGGCGGUGUGAUCAGUCCACGACGUCUCCAUUUUGUGCUCCGGUGGGAGUUUGCCAUUUGGUGUUUUGUUGUGGGAGGCGUAUGGGUCGACCCUAAUUUUCUGUUCUAUUCUGCUAUGCAGAUUGGUGAUGUUUGAGCCAAACAUGCCUUCUGAUUUUGCAUGCAUCUGGAUUGCGUAGUCCGAUGUGUGCAUGCCUGUGUGGCAUUAUUUGACUUGCCUGUGUGGCAAGGUAUAUUACUAUUUAUUUUGAACUCGGUAUGAAAUAACACCCAACCAUUUGAUUCAGCCUAUUAUUUUGUUGUGUUAGUUUUAUUCGUUUCAUUUCAGUUUGUUUCAUUUCAGUUUAAUUCAUUUAGUCGAAUUAAUUAUUUUAUUUCAUUAUUAUUUGUAUUCUAUAUCCGUACUGGGCAUUUGGCUCAUGCUGUGUUUUUCUUCCAGCAGGUAAUCAGGGGAAUCAAGGGCAAGUGCGACGAGGGCUCCCUUUUAUCCAAAUGAUUUAGAUAUAUUAUGUUUAGGUUGUGAUACAUUAGUUUGUUUGGAAUUAUAAUAAUUAUUUUAGAUUGUGUUUUGAGGCAGUUUGAUAUUUAUUAUGGUUAACUUGUAGUUUGAAUCAGAUAUUAAGACUAUUCUUUUGUUUAUUUAAGAUUUGCUAUUGAAUUCAUUAGUUUUUUGUGUUUUGUGUAACCUCUCUUUCUAUUUUGGAAAGGGGGUGUUAUAGAGUUGGUAUCAGAGCUUAGGUUCUUUCUUGUAGAAAACCUAUUUAGGUAUGACCAGUGAGUUAUGGGUAGACUUCUAGGUUAGGUUUCUAUUCCAUUUGAUUUUUGUUCAGCUAUUAUAUCAGCUAUACUCGAAUAUGUCUCUAAUCUGCUUUGUUAUCUAUUCAUUGAUCUAUUUGUUAGAUGGCCUAUAGACCCGCCAGAGUUGUUGGGAGGCGAGGCAACAAUAGGGGAAGAGGUGAGGGUCAGCCCAAUGAGCAAUCUAAUGAUCAGAUAAAUGCUAAAUUGGCUACCUUGGUGAAUCAGGCGAUGAAUCAGGCUUUACCUCAGUUGGUGGCACAGGUUGUACAGGCAAUGCAGCAGUUGCCGCCAGAAAUUCCUAAGCAGGAGAACUCGGGAAAUAAUGGUCCGCAUACAAAUAAAGUGGAAGGGAAUGCAGAUGGUUAUAAUCAGCAAGGGGUUGCGAUAUAUGUAUGGUUGGAGAGGUUCCAGAAGCAGAAACCACAGUCAUUUAGUUUUGCUCCAACACUAAUUGAUGCAGAGAAUUGGAUUGCCCACCUGGAGAAGAUUUUUAAUGUAUUGGGGUACUCAAAUAAUCAAAUAAUAUUACUUGCUUCUUACAAGCUGGAAGGGGAUGCACAGAGGUGGUGGAAGGCGAUGAAUGUAACUAAAGGUGAUGGUUAUGCCGAGGCACUUAGCUGGGAAAAGUUUUGUGAGGUCUUUCAUCAGUAGUACUUCCUAGCUGCUGAUAAAGAGGCUUAUGCUAGAGAUUAUAUUUCUAUUCGGCAGAAAGAUGAUGAGUCCAUCACGGAUUUCAUGACGAGGUUCACCACGUUGGUAGGAUUUGCAAGAACUUCUACAGGGACUGCACCGGAACAGGCGGAGAAGUUCAAGUGGCGGAUUCAUUAUAGGUAUUGGCAACAUCUCAUUAACACCAAGUUUGCAUAUGUGUCAGCAGUGGCCAAUGUUGCCAAGAAUAUUGAGAUGGAGCGACAUGACUUUUGAUCUUCUAAACCGGAGGGGAGUCAAAAGAGGGACAGAGAUGACCAGCACGGUCAAGCUUCAGUUCAACAUGGGAAGAAUUAGGGUGGUCAGUGGAACAGGAACCGUGGUGGCCAGCAGGGGCAGUGGCAUGGCCAAAAUCAAAAUAGGGGUUCUCAGCAGACGUCUCAGCAAUGGCAGAAUCGUCAGCUUCAGUUACCCUGACAUGGUCAAAAUUGUCAGCAGUGGCAGAAUCGUCAGCAGGGACAAAAUCAGGGUCGUUAUCCGGGACUAACUAGUGAGGUUAACCCAAAUCUCAUUUAUAUAGCUCCUUGUGCUACUUGUGGGGCUAAUCAUCCGGAGAAGCAGUGUCAUGGACAUAUAAUGGUGGCACGUGGAAAUGGUGGAGGUGGUGAUAAUGGUGGCAAUGGAGGUCAGCGUCAGGGUGGUUGAGUGUUUGCCUUGACAUAUAACUAGGCAGCAGGUGCACCAGGUACUGUUUCUGGCACUCUUUUAGUUGGAAACGUGAGGCAUCUAUUUUGUUCAGUCUUUUAUUCGGCAUCUGGGUGUAUCAUCUGAAUCCUUAGAUUCUGUUAUGUCUAUUGCUACCCCGAUCGGGACUUCUGCUGAUAUUUAUAAUUUGUAUCGAGGGUGUGCAAUCUAUUUUGGGGAUACGAUUCGUAGGGCUAAUCUUCUUCCGAUGUGUAUGCACGAUUUCGAUGUCAGUCUUGGGAUGGACUGGUUGGAUAAACAUCAUGCCACUAUCAAUUGUCAGGAGAAGAAGGUUAUAUUUAGAGAUGUGAAGUCUCCAGAGUUCGUGUUUCAGGCUUCACGACCAAGUAGGGUGGUGAAAUUGAUUUCAACUUUUCAGGCUGGAAAGUUAGUGGAAAAAGGUUGUGAGGGGUAUUUAGCAUUUGUGAAAGAUACUUCUAAUGAUGAGUCUCUUAUUGAGGAUGUUCCAAUUGUUCGUGACUUUCCUGAUGUGUUUCCUGAGGAGUUGUCAGGGUUGCCAUCGCAGCGGCAGGUGGAGUUUUCUACUGAUCUUGUUCUUGGUGCAGAGCCUAUCUCUAAGGCGCCGUAUCGGAUGGCACCAUUGGAGUUACAUGAGUUGAAGGAGCAGUUGUAGGAACUGUUAGAUCGUGGUAUGAUUCGAUCGAGUGUUUCCUCGUGGGGUGCUCCAGUUUUGUUUAUGAAGAAGAAGGAUUCCUUUAUGAGGCUGUGUAUAGACUACAAGGAGUUGAAUAAGAUUACCAUCAGGAAUCAGUAUCAAUUGCCGAGGAUUGAUGACUUGUUUUACCAACUUCAAGGGGCGAAGUAUUUUUCAAAGAAAUACUUGAGGUCGGGCUAUCAUCAAAUGAGGGUGAGGGAUGAGGAUAUCCCUAAGACGGCUUUUCAUACUCGCUAUGGGCAUUAUGAGUUUCUGGUGAUGCCAUUUAGGUUGACUAACGGUCCGGCAGUGUUUAUGCAUUUGAUGAAUCGAGUGUUCAGGGAGUACUUGGACCCAUUUGUUAUUGUAUUUAUUGAUGACAUUUUGGUUUACUCCAAGUCUAAAGAAGAGCAUGAGGAGCAUCUUCGCAUAGUGUUAUGGAUUUUGCAGAAAGAGAAGUUGUAUGCAAAAUUUUCUAAAUGCGAGUUUUGGUUGGAGCAGGUGGCAUUUGUGGGCAACGUUGUUUCUGCUGAAGGCAUUAAGGUGGAUCCUGCUAAGGUUGAGGCUAUCACUAAAUGGCCGAGACCUACUACGGUGACAGAGAUUAGGAGUUUCUUGGGUUUGGCAGGAUAUUAUAGGCGGUUUGUGGAAGGGUUUUCCCUGCUUGCCUUACCAUUGACUCAGUUGAUAAGAAAGGGUGCGAAGUUUGUUUGGAAUGAGGAGCACAAGAAAAGUUUUGAAGAGUUGAAGAAACGGCUUGUGACAUCUUAAUACUUACAUUGCCGUUUGGGACAAGAGGCUACCAGAUUUAUAGUGAUGCCUCUAAGAAGGGUUUGGGGUGUAUUUUAAUGCAACACGGUAAGGUGAUUGCUUAUGCUUCUAGGCAGCUUAAACCUUACGAGGUGAAUUACCCCACACAUGAUUUGGAGUUGGCAGCGGUGAUCUUUGCCUUAAAGAUUUGGAGGCAUAAUUUGUAUGGAGAGACUUAUGAUAUCUUCACCGAUCACAAAAGCCUUAAAUACAUUUUCACUCAGAAGGAGCUUAACAUGAUGCAGAGGCAUUGGUUGGAACUUUUAAAAAAUUAUGAUGCGAGGAUUCAAUAUCACACGGGGAAGGCAAAUGUGGUUGCAGAUGCUCUUAGCCUAAAGAGUUCUGGGAGUGUAGCAGCCCUUAUUACACAACCUCAGCUUAUUUUAGAUAUGGAACUUCUAGAGUUGGAGUUGUAUGUGCAAGGUUCAGAUGGGCAUUUGGCAGGUAUGAGAGUGGAGCCCUCUCUUAUCUCGCGAGUUAAAGAAGCUCAAAAGGAAGAUGGGGAGUUAUGGAGUAUGACGUGGAAUUUAGAGGAGGGCAAGCAGCCCGAGUUUUGUAUUGAUGACCAUGUUGUGAUUUGGUUGGGUGAGUGAUUGUGUGUACUGUUGGAUCCAAUCAUUCGGGAGGCUGUGUUGGCUGAGGCUCAUAGUUUUCCAUUUUUUAUUCAUCCAGAUUCUAUGAAGAUGUAUAGGGAUUUGAAGAAGAAUUUUUAAUGGAAUGGGAUGAAAUGAGACGUGGCUGAAUAUGUUGGGAAGUGCCUCACUUAUCAACAAGUGAAGAUAGAACAUCAACGAGUUAGUGGGUUGUUGCAAUAGUUAGACAUUCUAGUGUGGAAGUGGGAGGAUAUCACGAUGGACUUUGUGACUGGUUUGCCAAAGACUUUCAAGAAAAAUGAUGCCAUUUGGGUAGUGGUGGACUGGCUGACAGAAUUGACACACUUUUUGGAUAUCCAUGAGGGUUACUCGGUGGAUAGAUUGGCACAUAUCUUUCAACAGGAGAUUGUUAGACUUCAUGGUAUUCCGGUGUCUAUUGUUUCAGAUUGGGAUCCGUGGUUCACUUCACGGCUCUGGAAACGGUUUAAACGAGCUUGGGGUACUCGGCUCAACUUCAGUACUUCUUUUCAUCCGCAAACUGAUGGGCAAUCCAAAAGGACUAUUCAAAUGUUGGAGGACAUGUUGAGGUAUUGUGCACUUGAGUGGUCGAGUAAUUGGGAUGAUUACUUGAGCCUAGUUGAGUUUGCUUACAACAAUAUCUGGCAUGCAAGUACUGGAAUGUCUCUGUUUGAGGCAUUGUAUGGUAGAAAGUGUCGGGAACCGAUUUCUUGGGAUAAGGUUGGUGAAAGGGCCAUAAAAGGGCCUGAGUUAGUCCAAAUCACUACGGAGAAGGUAGCGAUAGCUAAGGAGAAAUUGAAGUCGGCUCGAUCACGACAGAAGUGUUAUGCUGAUAAGCAUAUGCGGACUUUAGAGUUUAAACCUGGUGAUCAUGUGUUUCUAAAAGUUUCUCCUUGGAAGGGAAUUCGGUGAUUUGGGUUGAAAGGGAAGCUUAGUCUGCGUUAUAUUGGCCCAUUUGAGAUUCUGAAGAGGGUUGGUGAGGUUGCAUAUCGGUUAGCUUUACCUCCAUAGCUCAUGUGCACAAUGUGUUCCACGUGUCGGUGUUGAGGAGUUAUCAUUAUCAUCCGUUGCAUGUGGUGCAAUAUCUGUUCGAUAAGAUUCCGGGGGAUCUUACGUGUGAGGAGCAAGCCGAGGCGAUUUUGGAUUGUCAAGAGCGGAUUAUAAAGAGGAAGACUAUUUAGUUUGUUAAGAUUUUGUGGAGGAACCAUUCGGAGCGAGAAGCUACUUGGGAGAUGGAGGAGUCUAUUCGAGCGGAGUAUCCACAUCUUUUUGAUAAUUAGGUACGUUCUAUUCUUUUGAUUCCGGGGAUGAAAUCCUUUUUAAGGGGUAGGUGAUGUAAUACCCAAAAAAUAAAAUAAAAUAAAAAUAAAUAAAUAAAUAAAUAACAUUUAUUUUAAAUUAUAUUAAUUGUACUUGUCUUUUAUUUAGGUCAAAUUAGUCAUUUACUUUUGGGCUAAUAAGUAUUAAUAAAUGAUGGGUAAAUUAAAUUGGUAAAAUUGGGCUUUAAACUAAGUGAGUCUAAUUUAUAAUUGUGUAAUUUUAAAAUCCUAUUAAAACAUAGAGAGUUAAUAAAUAUAUUAAUUAAUAAAAUCUAUUUUUAAGUGAAUAAAUAAUUACACCUAAUCUUAUUUUCAUUAUACAAGCUGAGAAAGAGAAAAAGGAGAACGCCGCCUCUUAUUAUAAUUUUUAGAGGAGUGCGUAUCAGAAUAGAAGAGGAACACAGGUAUGUUUGUUUGUUCUUUUCCAUUUUGUUACAUCUUUGUAUAUAAAUUGUUACAAUGUGUUUAAUUUCUUUUAGUUUACAAUUAAGAAUUGUAAAGUGUACAUGGUUGAUCAUUAUGCACAUCAGGAUUUUUUUGUUGUUGUUUCAAUCAAGGAAAUCUAACAACUACGCAUGGUCUAAUGUUAUAUAUAUAUAUAUAUAUAUAUAUAUAUAUAUAUUAGAGUUACUAUUUUGUCUAAAAUAAUAAAAGGGUAAUGAUUAAAAAAUUAAUUUUAAUUUAAUUUGACUUUGUAUCAUAAACUAAUGUAAAUUAGGAAAUAAAUUCAUGUUAUUAUAAAUUAUAGUUAUUAUGUAACUUAUAUUUAUUAUUAUUUUGAUCAAUUAGUUCGAACGGAAGGAAUUUAACAAACUAUAUUGGGAUAAUAAUUUUGGGUAUUACAUUGCUUAAUCCAGGUACGAAUUUCGUAUUCCUUCAGCGGUACUCUUAUUAAAUUAAGUUUGUUCGUUUUGUUUCUUGUUUCGAAAUUAGUUAUUGUUUCCCAUAAUUAUUAAUUCUCAAAUUCAUAUUAUAGUUUCAUCUUGGUAUUGAUACUUAGGACUCGUGUUUGUACUCUUGACCUAAUGUAUCAUCUUCUGUAUUUAUUUUGAUAUUUGGAGACUUUGCGUUGACGAUUCGUUUCAGUUUAACAUGUACAUGUUAGAACCCUUUGUGUUGAUAUUUUGUCGCAUGUGUUGUGAUAUUAUAUCUAUGUUAGAAUACAGUAGGGUAUACCUGAGCUAUAACCACAUGUGGGGGUACCACAGGUAUGUCCUCUUGCCACCGAGGCAUGACACCUUCCGUGGCUGUGUGAUCAGUCCACGACGUCUCCAUUUUGUGCUCCGGUGGGAGUUGGCCAUUUGGGGUUUUGUUGUGGGAGGCGUAUGGGUCGAUCCUAGUUUUAUGUUAUGUUCUGUUCUGCGGAUUCGUGAUAUUUGUGCCAAAUACGCCUUCCAAUUUUGCAUGCAUCUGGAUUGCGCAGUCCAAUGUGUGCAUGCAUGUGUGGCAUUAUGUUAAUUGUCUAUGUGGCAUUAUUUGACUUGCCUGUGUGGCAAGGUAUAUUACUAUUUAUUUUGAGCUCAGUAUGAAAUAACACCCAACCAUUUGAUUCAGCCUAUUAUUUUGUUAUGUUAGUUUUAUUCGUUUCGUUUCAUUUCAGUUCAGUUCAUUUAGUUGAAUUAAUUAUUUCAUUUCAUUAUUAUUUGUAUUCUAUAUCUGUACUGGGCAUUUGGCUCAUGCUGUAUUUUUUUUAUAUCAGGUAAAUAGGGGAAUCAAGGCAAGUGUGAUGAGAGCUCCCUUUUAUCCAAAUGAUUUAGAUAUAUUAUGUUUAGGUUGUGAUACAUUAGUUUGUUCGAAAUUAUAAUAAUUAUUUUAGAUUGUAUUUUGAGGUAGUUUGAUAUUUAUUAUGGUUGACUUUUGGUUUUAAUCAGAUAUUAAGACUAUUCCUUUGUUUCUUUGAGCUUUACUAUUGAAUUCAUUAGUUUUGGUGUGUUUUGUGUAACCUCUCUUUCUAUUUCGGAAAGGGGGUGUUAGAAUCCAUUUGAGGAUGAUACGUCAUACUCAUUCUCAACUGCUUUCCCAUUUGCUCUUGCAAACUCCUCUAAAAGAUCGAUGGGAAUCGUGGAUCACGAUCUGACACAGUCGACACAGAUACUCCAUGUCUUGAAAUAAUUUCUUUGACGUAUAAUUUAGCUAAUUGUUCUAGGUUAUACCUAACUCCUAUUGGUAGAAAGUGAGCUGAUUUCAUCCACUGAUCCACUAUUAACCAAAUAGCAUCGUAUCCUUUCCUUGUUGUUGGAAGUCCCACCACAAAUUCCAUUGUGAUAUGCUCCCAUUUCCACUCUGGAAUUUCUAAUGAUUGCAAAAACCCACUAGGUCAUUGGUGUUUGGCCUUAACUUUAUGACAAGUUAAGCACUUACUAACAUAUUUUGCUAUCUCCCUUUUUAUGUUUGGCCACCAAAGGUUCUGUUGAAGGUCUUGAUACAUCAUAGUAAAACCUGGAUGUUUCGAGUACCAUGAACUUUGGGCCUCACUCAUUAUCUCUUCUUUUAACUCAGGAUUAUUUGGAACCCAAAUUCUUCCUUCAAAACGAAGCAAUCCCUCAUUGUCGAGGUUAUACUUAGUCUUCUCUUCAUCUUCCAUCCUCUUCUUCAUUCAUUCGCAUUCCUCGUUGCUUAAUUACACUUCCUUAACCCGUUCCACUAUGGUCAGUUGAGUCUCCAUUGAGAAUAACAUCUCCAUCAUUUCAUUCGGUAAUUUACCUUCUAACUCCAUUCUCGCCAUCUCUGUUACUAACUUAUUCUGAGUCAUUAACAUUGACAACUUUUCUCUACCCUUUCUACUUAGCGCAUCGGCUACAACAUUUGUUUUCCCCGAAUGAUAUAAGAAAUCACAAUCGUAAUCGUUUAUCAACUCAAACCACCUUCUAACACUUUUCCCCGUAUAAAUAAUGUCAACAUAUUUUUAACUGACGUGAUGCAUACGCAAUGACCUUACCAUGCUGCAUGAGCACGCAACCCAGUCCUCUAUGUGAAGCAUCGUUAUAAACUACAAAAAUAUCCCGUAUCAUCUGGAGAAGACAAUACGGGUACCUCACUUAACCUCCUUUUUAGUUCCUAAAAACUAUUCUAACACUUUUCCGUCCACAUAUACUUUACUGACUUCCUCGUUAAAUUUGUCAACGGAGUAGCUAUUUUAGAAAAGUCUUGGAUAAACCUUCCAUAGUAUCCCGCUAAACCCAGAAAACUCUGAACCUCGGUUGGCAUUUUCGGUUGCUCCAUCUCAUUAACUACUUCUACCUUCACUUGAUCCACGGAAAUGCCAUCUUUAUCAAUAACAUAUCCUAAAAACUGCACUCGUUCAAGGUAAAAUUCAUACUUGGUGAAUUCCGCAUACAACUUCUCCUUCCUUAGUGUUUCCAACACUAUCCUUAAAUGUUAAGCAUGAUCUUCUGGCGUCUUAAAAUAGACUAGAAUAUCAUCGCUGAACACUACAAAAACUUGUCUAAAUAUUGUUUGAACACUCUAUUCAUCAUGUCCAUGAAUGUGCCUGACGCAUUACUCAACCCAAACGACAUAACUAGAAACUCGUAAUGACAAUAACGAGUCCUGAACGCUGUCUUAGGUACAUCCUCCUUCCUUACUUUUAACUAAUGAUACCCCGUACGCAAAUCUAUCUUAAAAAAAUACUUUUUCCCUUUCAACUGAUCAAAUAGAUCAUCGAUCCUGGGAAGUGGGUAUUUAUUCUUAAUCGUUAACUUGUUCAACUCUCGAUAGUCGAUACAAAGUCUUAACGACCCAUCCUUCUUCUUUACAAAUAAUACCGGUGCUCCCCGAGGAGACACAAUCGGUUGAAUGUACUUCCUAUCUAAUAGUUCCUGUAGUUGAACCAUUAACUCCUUCAUCUCUACUGGCGCCAUCCUAUAUGGUGCCUUUGAAACUGGUGUUAUACCCGGUAACAGAUCAAUCACAAACUCAAUCUCCCUAUCCGGGGGAAGACCCGGUAAUUCAUUCAGAAAUACAUUCGCAAACUAUUGAACUAUAGCUAUAUGUUCCAAUGAUGCUCCUACUCUUUGGGUAUCUAUAACAUGGAACAGAUAUCCUAUACACCCCUUCCUUAACAUUUUUGUAGCUUGUGUCAUCGUUAGACAACAAGAACAUCUCAGUGAUUUACUACCGAAGAACUCUACCUUGGUUUUCUUAGAAAGCUGAAGGUUCACACUUUUCCUAUGACAAUCUAUUAUAGCCUUAUGGUUAAUCAACCAAUCCAUACCAAGAAUUACAUCGAAUUCUUUCAACCUUAUCGGUACCAAAUCUACCGAUAACUUAUUACCUAUAAUAUCUACGCAACAAUUCCUAUAAAUAUGUUUAAUGGGAAUUAUCUCUUUGUUUGCUACCUUAACGUCUAAAGGUAAUUCUAACUUUUCAGGGAUUAAACCUAAUUGCUUAACAAAUUUACAUGCUAUAAAAGAAUAAGUAGCACCUGAGUCAAAUAACACAUAAGCAUUUAUUUCAUUAACUAGAAUGAUACCUGCUACUACAUCCGCUGAGGCAACUGCAUCUUGGACAGUCGUAUUAAAGGUACGGGCUGAGGGUUUACCCGCCGAUGGUGUUGGUCCAAUAAUGCCUAACUUACCACUACCAGAACCCUUAUUACCCUCUGACCCCUUAUUCGGGCAAUUUCUUGCCAUGUGGUCCAUCGACCCACAUAAAAAACAACCAUGAUUUUUCUUAGGAUUAAGAUAGUUGGGUGACACAUGUCCCUCUUGCCCACAGUUAUAACAAACAAAUUUUCCCUUCAGGCAGACUCCUAGAUGAGUCUUUCUGCAUGUCUUGAAUGCCUCCAUCCUACGUUUAGGAUCCCCUUUUUUCACCCCAGUAUUCCUGGAGUUAAAACUCUUCCUUUUUGGCAUACUACCACUACCACUGGCACUCUAUGCCUUGGUUCCUCCCUCUCCCUUACUCUUAUUCUUUCUUUCUUUGUGGUAUUGAGUCAACGCCUCACUACCACCUUCUGCUAUAAUCACCUUUUCCAGAAUUGUCCAAUAGGAAGAACUCUAGAACACAAAAAUCCUACUAUAGAGCCAGGGUUUCAGGCCCUGCUCAAACCUACGAGCCUUCCUCUCUUCAGUGUCCACUUAGUGUGGAGAAAACCUUGGCAAUUCAUUGAAUUUUGCCGCAUAUUGGGGAACCAUCAUGUGUAACACCCCCAAAUCCAGGUUACCUAACCCCCGAAUUUGGUGUUCACGAUCCACAAUAUAAUACCAUCUCACUACCCAUUCAAAUAUAAAUAGGAAUACAUAACUCAUUAACAUAUGUUGUUAAUACAUAAGUCCUAAGUCUGCUAACCUUAACAUUACAAAUAUACCCCUUAGAUAUACAAAAAGGGUUUACAAUACAACAUAAUCAUAAUAAUGUUCAUUAUACUAAUUUAUCACGAUGCCUUUUCCUUUAUUCUUCACUACACCUUCUGCCACUUCGUCCCUAGCUGAAAAGUUUUAUUUAGCAAGGGUGAGCAACAAGUUUGCCCCGCAAGUUAAGAUAUACGAUAAAUGUAUAGGAAUAAAUAACAAGUCUUCUCACAUUCAACGCAACAAUAAUCUGGUAAUGAAAGAGUAGAAUGCUUUCAAGGUUUUCUACGAUAUUCAAAUGAAUAAUCAAAAAUUAAUUCUAUGAAAUAGCAAAGUGGAAUGUUUUCCAGAUUUAUGCUGAGCGAUCCAUUGGAUCUUGAACUUCUCUUCUCGAGUAACUAUCAAAGAUUUGACUUUGAUAUACCCAGGUGUAUCAGAUAAUCAUAAAGAUUAAAUUAUACCCCUCUGCAAGUUUAUAAAGUGAUCAGCUUUAUUAUACCUUAUACUAUGCAUAAUACUUAAUCGCGCGCAAAGGCCGAAUAUACGACCAAUAAAAUAUUCCCUUUAUAUAAAAGGUUGUUCUUCUCAGUCUCAGAAUCAAGAUUUUGAUUAAACAACAAAAUAUUGUGAUUUCAAUUUCUAAUUACUUCUUGAUCUAGCCGAAAUAAUUGGCAUCGAUCUGGCAAUAAUAAUUGAAUUCUCUUCUCGAACCUAUCAAGUUCUAACAAAUGUUCGUCUAGCCAGAAUAAUUGGGUAAGACAUUUCUCAACAUAAUUCGACAAUAAAUAGGAAUUAUCUGUAGUGUCAAUACUAGAUUCUAUGGAUAUUAAUAUCCAACAACAGUUGUUCUACGAAUGUAUAUUUUUCUGAAUCAGUAAUUCAAUUUGAAUUAUUAAACAUGCACUAACUACGAAUAAUCAACAAUAAAUUCUUGGACGUGGCAUAAUUAAAAAUAAUUAACCACCAUAAUAAUUAAACAAUAUUAACUCAAGGUUGAGUUAGGAAACUUGCCUCUUCCGCUGACUACAGCUACAGAAUAAAUUUAUCUACUUUUGAAAGACCUAUAACCAAUAAUAUCGGUCUCACAAUUAGUACAAUAUUUCGUAACACAUUACACUAUAACUUAUAGUCAAUUUUCUCCUAGACACAUUACCACAGUCACAACAGUAUUUAUAACCUAUAUAAAUACUUAUCAAGUCUAACUAGUUCAGUCUGGUUGGACUUUGGUCUAUUUUCGGUGUUCUGGUCACCCUAUCCGACAAUUAACACAGUUAUUGUCAAGUAAAUUCAGUUUCUAAGCUUCAAUAUUAUUUUAUAUAAGUCAAAUAUCAUUAAUAAUAUUUUUCGAAAGCUUUUAAUAAUUUAUAAGCAAUUAUUAUAAUUUAUAAUAAUUUUUCAAACAUCAGAAUCAUUUUUAAAUGAUAUAAUUAUCAAAUAAUCUUAUCAUCAUUCAUAUUUAAUAAUAUUACAAUAUUAAUGACAUACUUGUCAAAAUAUUAAAGUUAUUAUCAAUAACUUAAAAUAUUUUUAAAUCAACAAUAUUCCACUUAAACGAUUUUUAAAAUAAUAAAAUUCAUUUUUAAAUCAUUACCAUUAAUAUUUAAAUAUUAAUGAAAUUAUCAUCCAAAUAUUAAAAGUCAUUAAUUAUAACUUAAAAUAUUUUUAAAUGAUUUUUAAAUCAAUAAAAACAUUUUUAAUUCAUUUAUUUAAUAUAAUAAUUAAAUAAAUCUAAUAUAAUUAAUAUUAAUUUAUUAAUGAGAAUUCUCUGAAAAUAUUGAAAAUUAUAUUUUAUAAUUCAAAUUAUUUUCUAACACUUUAUUCUCAUUUUAAAUGAUUUUUUAAUCAAUAAAAUCAUUUUUCAUUUAUUUAUUUAAUUUAAUAAUUAAAUAAAUCUGAUAUCAUUAAUAUUAAAUUAAUAAUGAAAAUUCUCUAAAAAUAUUAAAAGUUACCUUUUAUAACUCAAAAUAUUUUUAAAUGCUUUAUUCUUAUUUAAAAUAAUUUUUCAUAAUAUUAAAUCAUUUUUCUCUAAUUUAUUUAAUAUACUAAUUAAAUAAAUUAAAUAUCAUUUUUAUUCAAAUAAUUAAUAUUAUUAAUGAAAAAAAUUCCAAAUUCUCAAAAAUUAUUUUUCAUGAUUUCAAAUAAUUUUUAAAACCAUUUUUAGUAAUUUUAUAAUUUAUUUCUAUUUUUUAAUAAUUUUUGGAAAAUCAAAAAAUAAAAACUAAUUAAACCGUCGUUAUAGGCCUUUAGCGACACAAAGCAUCGGUGUUGGUGUUCUUGAGCUCAAAAACACUGACAGCCCCAUGUUCAAGGCUACUACUUUGACCACGCUUAAUCUUUUGCCUAUUUUGUUUUUGGGCUUGAUUCUGCAUCAAUUUUAUAGUAGGUAUGUAACACUACCAAUAACAACCAACCUCUUGCUCAAACAAUAACUUAAAUGCAAGAUCUGAGCUUUUAAACUUGCUGUCAGAGACCAUCUGGAUUUUCUGGGUAACCUAGAAACCCAAACAGUGUCGACUAGUCACUUUCUAGUACAAUUAAUCUGGUAUUCUGGUCAACAAAAUGGUGUGUUCUUGGUUCAAACCUGUUGUUCGCAUGACAAGGAACAUCUACAUAACAUAAUAUCAGUCCAACUACAUCAUGGUUGUAAAAUUCAACCCAGUCAAACAUGGUUAGAAAUCAUGUUCAUACACUUUCUAGAAAUUCUAGAAAAGUGUUCACGUGAUCAGAUGGUAUAGUUUGACCAGCCACUACAUCAAUCCUGUUGAUGGUUUAUAUGAUCUAAAACCAUGGAUCUAUAGUCCAAUUAAUAGGCUACAAUAUGAUUACCAUAACAUUAACAUAACACUUAAACACUGACAGAUCAAAGCUUCCCAAAACACUGUCACACGUUGUUUACACUUUCUGGGUUGCCUAGAUUUAUACUCGAGCAUGGUCGGUCAACCGACUUUGACAGAUUAUAACUUGCAAUCUAGACAUUAAACAACUACGAUUUCACUUCUAGAUCAGCCAACAUGAUAAAUAAUAUAUUAAAGCUUUAAAACAACAAAAAGCACAAAUGAACAAGAAUGUAUGGACUCUGACUUUUGCUUAUCAGACCAAAAAUUUGUUCUUGGGCACGUUUUGAAAAACACCAUUUUAAAGCCAUUUGAUGCUAUGGAUCCAUCAUGGAUCAACAUAGAUCAUCUAAAAACAUCUUAUAACACAAAUUUAAACACUUAAACAGAAAAAUUUUCAUAGCAUACAAGAUCUAGUUUGAGAUAGGGUUUAUACCUUUUCUAGUCCAAGCUUUGAUCUAGAUCUCCUCAACUAAUUUUUGGUGUUCUAGUAAUUGAUUAUAUGACUGAGAGACUUAAAGAAUUCGGAGGUUUGAAGAAAGAAAAAGUUGGUGAGAGCUUGGGUGCAAAAUAAGUAAAAUGCUAGACUUACUCUCUCUCAAAACUAUAUAUAUUGUGAUAUGUUGCUAGAUCUGAUAUAAAGAGCUGAUAUUGCUGGAGAUUUCAUGCCACAAAGUCAAUUGAGUUGGUCACCUACUACAAAUAUACAAAGAUUUGCAAGUUACAUAUUAAAAUAUACUAAAAGGGCAUUUUGGUCUUUUUCCUUCCAAUUUUAAUGGCAUACAUGGAAUUUACCAAACCCUUAGGGUUUAACCCUAAGGUUCUAACCCUUAGGUUUUACAACACUAACUCUCUAGGAUUUUCUAAUUAGGGUUUUUAAAUUAGAAAAUUAAAAGUUUAAAACUAAAAUUAGGGUUUCCUAAUUAAAUUAGGUUUUUCCUAAUCACAUCAACGUUUAAUAAACACAUUAAGAUUAUCAAUUAGGAUUAGGGUUUCCUAAUUAGGGUUUAGGAUUCUCGGAUAUGAAUUUAGGGUUUCCCAACUUUUGAUUAAGGUUUUUAGCUGCGUGUUAGGGUUUUUAAUCUCUUAUUAGGGUUUAUUAGUUUUAAACCUUAUCUGAUCAAUCAUUAAUCAACAUUCCUAUACAGUACAAAGAUGUAUUCAUCGAUACAAUUAUUUUAAUUGCAUUUUCUACCGAAUCCCUAUCCAGAAAUUAGGGUUAGGGUUUUCUAAAGCUGUUAAGCAAAACUCUACUCUAAUUUCUCAGUCAAUACACAGAUUGACUAAUUCUCAAGACUCAUAUCACAGAUACACAGUACAAUAUUAACAGUCAAUAUUAAAUAAAUAAAUAAAAAUUAUUCGUAAAAUUUGGAUUAUUCAAAAUCUCGGGUUAUUACAUCAUGUCCCCUUGCUUAAGUUCUAGGAACUUAAUCUCCAUAAUCCCCUCCAUGCUAGUAGGAAAGUAGUUCUUGAAGAAUAACUUCUUGAACUGUUCCCACGUAACCGCAUCAGUUCUAGCUCCACCUUGGUGAGCCUCCCACCAAAAGUUGGCUUCCCCUUUCAUCAUAUAAGUCGCAAAAGUAGUCUUUUGCGCCUCAGCUAUGUUUGUGAUAACAAACACCUUCUCUAUUUCUUUCACCCAUGUAUGGACCUCUAUUGGGUCCGACGUUCCGUUGAACUCCGGCGGACCAACGAUUUCAAACUCUUUAAAGGUAGUCCUUCUGGCUACCCUAGGUCUCACGGGUGCUCUACCCCCGUUUUGGUUAAAUGCAGCCGUUAAUAAAUUAACGAACUCUUGCAUAGUAUAAUUUUGACCCCCUUGAUUAUCGUUAUGUGAUUCCACUUCUUGAUUAUAUUGUCUUCUUCUUGGCAGCAUUAUUCUAAUUAAAUAAAUAAAGUUUCAUUAUUAUCUAUUUACUUACUUAGUUACCAUUCCACAAUAAUAACUCAUACCACAACAAGAACAUUUAAUAAAAACUUCAUUAUAUUAAUAUGCUUCUUUAUAGUCAAAACUAUUUACAAUUUGCUUCCAUAGCCAAAAGCUAUUACAUUACUAUCCCGCGAUUGACUUCUAUAAAAAUUGGGAUUUAAAAAAAGACUACCCUUUAAUUAUACAAAAGAGGGUUUUACGUCACUACACAUAUACAAAAGAUCUACCGAUCUACUAACACUGCCUCACGACAUUCUCAUGCUUUUGAGUCACUGGAAUCGAAACAAUAUCCCGACUAAUAGUAUGUCGAGUCUGCCCCGACUCAAUGGAAUAACAAGCAAUUUUCAGCUUGAAAUCCUCAUGAACAUUGUUAUAGAUUUAGGACAUCCGUGCUAUCUUCUGGUCUUUCUCAACCAAUUUCUUACGAAGUUCUACAGCCUCAUUCUUAUAAUCCCUAGCCUUAUCUGUCAUAAGCACCUUCUCAUCGUGCUCUAACUCAAAAUCUGCUUCUUCAGACUCCUUUGCUUCACAAAGAACACUAAUCUCUUCAUUCUAGUUCUGCACAACUGUACGCAAUUACGCAUUCCGAUCAAGCACUGCCAGAUACAAUGGUCUCAUUGCAUCUGGAGGUGUUGACUCUUGUGUUGGUACCACCGUAUUAAUCGAUGUUACCUCCAUAUCCUCCUCCACAUCAAUCAUCAUAUCAAGGUAUGAUGAUAAAUCCAUAUCUUCGUCGGAGUAGUCCUCCUCAGAAAAUACUCCUCUGUCUCCGACUCUUCUAAAAUCUCUAAUGGAAACUCCACCACUGGCAUAGGUACAGGCUCUACUCUGUUCACAGACUCUUCGUUCACCACGUGUACAUCUCUAUACAUCAAGUUGUCGAUCGACAUCUACAAUAACACAUAACAUGUUGAUUAAUACAUAAUACACAAUAAUAUCAGCACAAAUCAUAUUUAAUUUAUUCAGGGUUAAUUUCCAUGUUUUAAAUCUUUCGCUGAGUUUGCUCAAUACCUUAUUAACUCAUUCGACUCGAGUUUAAUUCCUUCGGACAUUUUCCUUCCCUAACGAGGUUAUUAGCCUAAGGUUCUUCCUCCCUUAUGUUUUAUGACCUAAUGCUUUAAUACCAACAUGACGCCCCCAAAUUCGGGUAUCUUUCAACCCGACAGAUGGUGCUACACGAUACUUAUAAUCAUACAUUCAUUCCAUUGAAAUAACAACACAAUGAGUGUAUUAACAACAUUCAUAAUAAAUCCUUUCCCUAGUUUAUAAACCGAAUACAUUAUUCGUUGUUCAUAUGUAUAAUACAUACAAACAUACGAGUCUAUUACAUGAUAACUAACUAUCCAUCUUAGCCUUGCCUUUAUCUUUCUUAGAACUCUCAGUUCAUUUGGCCUUAGUUGUAAUCAUAUAAUUCAAGCAAGAAGUGAGCAUAACUAUCUCAACAAGUCUAACAAAGGAUAAUAUAAAUACAACGUCAAGAAUUAUAUGAUUAACUUCCAUAACUGAACAAAUAGCUAUGAAGUACUAUGAAACAUUGACUAGCACUUCUCAUUUCAUAACAACAAUUCCAAAGUAUAUAUAAUAGCUUAGGAAUUCUGAACCGGUCGAAAGACCAUGAACAUACUCUUUUCGUUUUUAUACAUGAAAAGGACAUCUCGGCACUAAGUCCGUACAUUCGAUAUUUCUUACGAGCACUUCUAGGUGAUCAGCCUAUAGUACUCUAUGUUGAUCAGCACUCAUCCAUUAAACGUAUUUACGUUUAAGUUUUGGCAACCUUAUAUGCCCAUCGAAUAAUCGAUGAAAAAUACAUUUGUGUGUUCAUAAACAAACUUACUUUGACUCCGUACCAAAUAAUUGGCAUAGGAUAACGUUAACAGUUCUAUAUCGAAAGACUUUUAAACAAAUUAAUCUAACUCUUAAGAAUAAUCUAGUCGAGUUAAAACUGGCAUUGACCCUUUCGUAAAACAAUUCAUGCAUAUCAAAACAUGAAUCACAGAAAAUUUGGCUAACACGAAGGCUAGACAAGCGUUAAAAAAACUUUCCUUCAAGCGUCUUUGAAUAUAAUAUUCAACAGUUCUCAAUCUUUACAGAAUCUAAUUGAUAUAUUAAAAUAGCACACUAUAAUUAGCUACCUAACAAUCUAAUCACAUUGUUAUUACCAACUUCUUUCUCUUUUAUGUCUUAAAGGAAUUUAUUUCAUUAAUAAAUGUCAAUUCGACUUACUAUCCUUCAUUAUAGAUUGUUAACAUUCUUACGUUACUAAUCGAGACUUGUUCGUCAUCGGUUAGGUAUACUUAUCAAAUAACGUUCACGGUUUACUUACUUACACUUCGCGUUCUCCGUUUAAUUACUAUUUACCAUGUAUAUUAAGUACAUACAUGUUCUACUAUUCGUUUCCAAUCAAUUAGGAUUACAAACCUAACUUUUCUAUCAAAAUCUUACUGCCGGCGCUGCGGUGCCAGACACUAGCACACCACUGGCGUUGCGGCGCGAGUGAGCAGUUGCUAAAGUCCAGUCUCGGCACUGCGGCGCGAGAUCUAAGCAUACUAGUGGCACUGCAGCGCCACUCUUCUGUAACUAAUUCCUCUAUACCCGGCGCUGCGGUGCAGAGUUUAGUACUGGGGUUGGCACUGCGGCGCCUCCCCUGAGCCUCAGAUGGUUUUGUUAGUUUGAUUUUUUUACAAAAUUUCUGGCCUCAUAACUUAAUCGUUUUACAUCCAAAUUGGCUCAUUCAAAAGCCAUUAGCUCCUAAAUCACAUACGUUAUGAUUCCAUUAGAAAAUAUUUCAUUUUUGAAUUUUUUAACACGGAAUUCAUUGAUUAGUUCAUUAUCGAGCAUUCAUUUAUCGUUCGUGAGUGUUCAUAGCUCGUUUUCUUUGUUCAAAGUCGGAAUUCGAUAAUUCUUGAGUCCAUGACUCUUGAAUACCUUAUCUCAUAUGAUGCCACUGAAAACAAAAAUUUCCAAGCCACAUGACAACUUUUGACUACUAAUCUGAGGUUUCUAAGUUUUUAAUGUUUAACGCCGAAUCUCGAAAAUUUCGCCAUAACUUCGUUACUCGUGUUCUCUACGCCAAAUCAAAUGGAACAACUCCAUUUAUUCAUCAUCUACAUCCUAACCAAGCAAUAUGAACAUACCCUAACAAUGCUGGUUUUCAAUUUGUCCAUCAACAACCAAGUUAACGUUCAAAGGUUUCUUCAGUUUAAACUUAGGUAACUACUUAUGAUUUUUACUUAAACAUGAUUUAUCAAUGUUUUAAUCCUUAAUAGCCAUCCUUAAUCCUCCAGAAGAGACAUGCUCCACCAAUCUAUGAUUCUCUAUGAAAAAAUAAAUCAAAAAGAUCAAAGACUAAUGAUUUACGAAUUAUUACCUUUUUAUUCUUCAUGUUCUUACUAAAAACUCUUAUGCUUUGCUUCAAGGUAGCUUGAUUACUUGUUUCUAGCUCUUUCUCUCUCUUAAUAUAUGUUGGCUAAUGUUUGUAAAAUAACAAAUGACCAACUAAAGCUUCUUUAUUUAGGAAAUUCAAAUGGAGGGCAAAAUGGUCAUCCUACCCAACCUCCUUUCUAUUUAUGGCUUAGCCACCAAGUAACCACUUUAUGGUCCAUGGGUCUCCCCAAUGGGUUGCCCCAUGGGUUUUACCCAUCUGGUGACCUGUCAGUUCGAUCAACGAUUCAGUUUCUUGGAUCGGGCUUGAUUGAACCUAACAUUGGGCCUAAAUUUGAGCUUGAAUACAACAUUCAUUCGGCUUGAUAUAAUCCAAGUCCAAUUGGAUUCUACAAAGUCCUUAAACUCAAAGUCCAUUAAGACUAAUCGUAUUCUACGCAUUUAAUUAUCGUAUUCUUUUCGUUUAGUAUUCAUAUGAUAUUCGUAUUAUACGUCAUAAUAUUCUUCAUAUUAAACUAGUAUACUAACUAGUACCAUACUUGUAUAUCACACGUAUAAUAACCCUAAUCAUUAUACGCACUUCAUUUCCUUCUUGAAAAUCACUUUUCCUAAACCUUAGGUUUUAAGUCCGCAGGCGAAAACUUCGUUUGCCAUAACUAAAAUAUUAUUGGAUAUUCCAUUUCGUCUUCGUAUUCUAUCAUUACGCAUUUCUUGGAAAUUCAAAGAUAAUUCUCGAGCAGAAAUAGAUGAAUAGUAUUUUUACAGAAAUUUCUCAGAAAACUUUUAUUUUCGUCUUGGAAAUUCAAAAUAAUUAAUUCUUGCCAGAAUCCUAACCACAUCCGCACAUUCUAGGUCAUAGAACGACCUUCAUAUAACUUACUCACAUAAAUAAUCAAUUAAAAUUAUUUAAUCCACAUAAUCAAAUAAAAAUUUAAUUAAUUUAAAAAUCUGAUUUUCUCGGGCAUUACAAUGACACAGGCCAAUAACGCUUGGCAGGAGGCUAGAUCGGUACACGAAUCCCCCCUGUGGUGAUCCUAAUAGCACACUCUCCUAAAUAGAGCUCCCAUCCUCCAUCUGUGAAGAGAGGAAUCCUACGGGUGGAUAUCACGUACUCGACACCAGUCGGGUACCCAUCCUCAAACCCAACAGUCAAAUGCUCCCCGGAAUAGGGGAUCCAAGUGAUAGCAUCAAAUGUCAACAACUCUUACUAUAGACGACAAUGGGUGAAACCCUCAGCUACAGGAACCUCCGCCAGUAUGGAUUGAUUCCACCGCCGUCCUCGUGGAUAGGUAUUUAAACCUAACACACUCAUAGGACGCAAACAUGAUAGCCUCUCAUAGGCCCAAAAUUACCAACACGAAGGCAAACAUCUGCUUUCAUUCAACACUCUUAACUUGUACAUGUGAAAUCAAAAGAGAAAUAUUCACCAGCAUAAAUGGGUAAAAUCCCAACCAAGCCUCUGUCAAGCCCUGCAAACGUAUGCGCAUGCCCCUAAGGAAAUAGGCGAAGGUGUAGGAUCCCCAAUCAUACUCUCCAAUAUGGUCCACAUCCCGUGUGGCGCUAACUAAAGCGAAUGAUACUGUGGAAGAGUUAUCCGCUAUGAAGCAACCCCUAAUGAUUAUCAGGAACAAUCGCCGAAGAAUGCAAUCCCUGACUCUCACAUCAUCGGGUAUGGGCCCACUCAACAGCCCGCUCAUAGCAUCUACGCUCAAAUGACCUGUACGGAUUGUUCUUCCCUUGAGCGCCUCAGCCGGGACUCCUAGCAAGGAUCUAACGGCAGUCGGGGUAAUAUCCAUCGUACAAAGCACUUACGCCCCUCCAAACUCCAUACCGGUGAUAAAUCGCUAAUCCAUCGGCGUCAUCAUCACCUCAUAAUCUAACAAAUAGAUUCUGGUGAAACCAACGCUCAGACAAUGCUCUGAGAUAACCCCAAGGACAACGAUGGGGGAGAAUGGAAAAGAAUGCCUUGAAGCCUCAACCAUGCACAAUCGCUCGAUAAUCGGGAUGCCGGUCCUGAUAUGUAGAGUGAAUGUUGAACCAGUUCCCUCGAGGCUACGUAAAGCCGGGAACCUACAUCACAAAGCAAAUCAACAUCAAAAUCCUUGCUCCUCAUCAAUGCGAAAAAGGAAGAUCAAAUCCAGCUUGUACCUCGUUUGUAUGCAAGUAAACCGAGGGGUGUCGACUCAAAUCACCUAGAAGCUCUUGGAUCAUUACUUGAAUGCCUGGAAGAUCCCUACGGGGAACAUGAGCAGCAGGAGUGGGGUCCGUAAUAGGUACAUUCCCCUCCUUGUCCUCGACAUCCGAUACCUCAACCCGGACAGAACGUAUCACCGCCUCCGCCAAACGUCGAGGUUGUCUAAUUGAAUGGGGUCAAGGAAAAUUAGAUGCCCUCCUCCGCACACCUGAAGUGGUCAUAUGGGAACUACUUGGCUGAUAAACUCUAACCUGCGGGAACUACUCGACUGAUUUGGACAGAAGUCUCCAAAUCACCUCAGAAAGGGUGUGGUAAACUCUAACUUGGAGCUUUUCAAAAUGCAUUUUAUGACUAUAUGCAUGCAUUACUUUAACAUACGCCUACAGUAGAGUUAAAAAUGCAUGACUAUCCAAUACCUACAUUUUGGAAAUUUUUAGCCAUAGUCUCCUUUGUAAACAGGACUGACUAUCCAUAUGCACAUAGGCAUGACUAGGUGGCCAUUCAGUAGCACACCUACCCAAAGUCAUAAACAUCAUAUGUGCAUAACACUAUCAAAGUCAUAAUCCAUAAGGGUAGCCUAAUUACCAGGAUUACUUUACUUUACCACCUUGGCUCAUUUAUCCUUAAAUAGGAUAAGAAAUAGCAGAAAAAGGGUGCCAAUUUGACUGUGUCAAAAGUCAAAUUAUUUUUACAUCAUUAUGUUUAACAUCAUUAAAUACUAACAUUUACUAUGUUGAAUAUUUUUAUCAAGUCAUAUGAGCAUGUUUACUCACUACUAUGUGUUUAGAAGCAUUUCAUGUGAUAACUCAUUUUCCAAUGGAUAAAAACUAGAAAAGAAGACAUGCAUACGUUACCAGGACAGUGUAGAAUACUUUUACAUUGACAUAAUUUGCAGAAAGACGCCUAAACUUAGCAGAUCUGAAGAAGAGCUCUCGGAUUCUCUUUGUGGCACAACUUGUAAAUGAAUUAUGAAAGCAACAGGCCACUUAAGGCCACCCACGGUUGGCCGCAAGUGUACCUGCGGCUCCCCUAGGUGCGGCCCACCCUUAUGGCUCGGUCCAAUAUGAGUUGCAAAGGAGGUCUCACAAGUUGAAAAAGUCAAAUCAUGAAAAAAGAUGCUACGCGAUUGAGCGGAAAAACCUGAAAUCCUGAUUUUCAGAGUCCAAACUGUGGGUCUACAUAUCAUUCAUUUGUAUUUGCCCAGACAUAGGGUUUACUAUACUGAUUAUCACGAAGGUCUUAUGCCAUCAGUUCGGGGUCGUAACUCCAUAACAUUUCCCUCAACGGGGAUUUUAUACAACUCAUCCGUUGAUGCACACGUCAAUGAAGGUUAAGUAACCUUGACGACAUUCAGCCACUGGCAGGUAAAUCCGACGAAGCAUCGGAAACCAUUUGAUGAUCUCAUUAAUUAAUGCACACGUCAUCAAAGGUUAAGUAGCCUUGACAUCAUCCGCAACAAGGAUCUCAUCCGUUGAUGUACAUUUCAGCGAAGGUCAGGCAGCCCUGACAACAUAAACUAUUGGCAGUAACUUCGACAGAGCAUUAGAAGGAAUUGUCGACACAAACCACGAAGAACCAUCCUCAUCAGGGAGGACUGAUGAUUGAAUUUGUUAUACACAGCUUCAACAGACAAAACAUAAUUCCCCCAGAGUCUCUUGUACAUGAGAGAUACGUCCUUAGUGGAAUGUCUGUACCAAGGAUUAAGGACUUUGGUUGUAAGACCCAAAAUUUAUGAAUAAAGAUUAAUUUUUUUCAAAAUAUAUUUUUAACUAUUAUGGUGUGGAUUUGAUAUAAAGUUAUAGUUGUGGGUAAUAUUUACAAAUUUUGCAAAGUAAGCAAGUUGUUAUAAAAUAUUUGAUUGGUCGGGGAAUAUUCGUUUUAACAGGGAAUAUUUGUACGAUGGAAAAAUCAUUGGUGAACCCCAUAACAGAAGUAUUGUCAUAGUUAGAAAAUGAUAGAAAUAUCUUUUUAUAAAAAUAACGGCGAAAGUUUUAUCGUUAAGCUGUUUAAAUACCCGGUGGUAAAAGUACAGUAAUACGCGUGGUUUCAUAGUAGCACACGGUAUUGUACAGUAUCUUUGAUUAUUGAUGCUUACGUGAGAAGUCACUCGGUUAUACUCAAUUCUUGCUACAGUAAUUGAUGCAUAAUAUCUCUCAUAUUAUUGGUUCAAUUAUUGUCACAGUAUCAUCUGCAUAAUAUUUUAUAUUAUUAAAUAUAUAAUUGAGACGACAAAGUUAUUCAUAUUAUUAUUUGCAUUAUUGACGAUGUCUAGAAAGUUCUGUCAAUGAAAGGGGUUUAGUCACCUAAUUACGCGCCAAUAGGGAGAAAUUCUUAUCGGAAAGCCCCUCUUUCCAGGGAAUGAUCUGGUUGUUAAAUAUUGUGAGUUAUAAUAUUAAUGAUGAAUAAGUUCGUGUUGAUUAAAGAUGUUUGUUCAUUUAGUUUUCUUAAUUCUUACGUGACCCAAUUACCCUCAGAGUAGAUAUUUUUGUGAUUGACUGUUUUAUUGACCAAACGGGCAAUUAAUCGGAUAAAUGAGCAAUUAAUUGCUAUUAGUUCACAUGCAUAUAACUAUUUGUUCACAUGAAUAGAACUAUUGAUUCACAUACAUGUACUAUUGAUUCACAUACAUGUACUAUUAGGGGAGGUGGUACAAGUUUGAUACUACUUGUAGGACUAAAUUAAAAAUAGAGGAAAAGAUGAAGGUACUAUACUAUAAUUAUAAAAACCCAAAACCCUAAUAAGACUCGUAUGUAUAAAAUCCCGUUAUAUAAAUAAAAUAUCUCCGUUUUGAAUGUGUUAUGUGUUAAUAUAUACUUGGUUUGACAAAUUUGACCAAAUAAAUUUUUAUCUGAAAAACGUCGUGCUUGACACCUCGUGCUUAAUUUUUUUUUCAAUAAUCGAACUUCUCGGUAAAAUUAUUUUGACAAGUUGCUUUGUCGUGUUUACACUGGCAAAACACUUCGUCGUGCUUGUUAGGAUUAGUGAGAAAUUUAGGUUAACAAUCCUAGAUUAACAAACACUAACCCUAAUUAGCAAAACCCUAACCCUAAUUUAUAAACCUAACCCUAAUUAGCUAAACUAACUCUAAUUAGCUUGUGUUAACACCUAAUCAUGGUUAGUAAACUUCAAUUAGGUACUAAUUAACAUUACUUAACAUUCCUAAUCAUUAGAAACAAAACCCUAAUCAAGAUUAGUGAAGAUUAAAGCCUAAUUAAGCUACUAAACAAACCUAACUAGCUCACAAGUAGGUUAGGAGUCACAAUUGCAAGUUCCAAGAUAGCACAUGACAUGCUUGUAACUCCCAAGCAUCACAAUAGUCAUCAGAUCAGAUCUUUAUAGAGGCAAGUAUGUUAGUUUGGUAGAACACGUUUUCAUAACAUCUAGAUGCCUUAAUUAAGUGUUUUAAGAAAUCUGGAAAUUUUAAAAACUAAGUCAGACAGUCGAAUGUCAGGGCCUAUAGAUUCAUUUGUGUUUAUAUUUUGGUCCGUUAAUUGUUUGUUAUUUGUAGCCUGUUAGUAGGUCUUUAAUCUGGAAAAGAAAAUAGGUUCAUUUGAACUAUAGAUUUCAAGUUAUAAGCAGUCAAUGUGGGUUGACCGUUCACGGAUUAUAGUUUUCUGGGUUGCCCAGAAAGCUCAAUAACAGUCAAACCGACAACUUUGACCAAUCUAUUUAAUCAUCUUCUAUUUGUGAUUUUUGUAAGUUUUUGUCAUAGAUCAAUACCCUGUUAUAUCUACUACAUAUCUAUAACCUUUAAUUAAACAAACAAUGUAUAUGUUUACUGGAAUUAAUGGUCAAAAGUCGUUGACCGAGCUUGACCAAGUUUUUUGGGUUUUCCAGAAAACUGAAGAACACGAAAAACAACGUUUGGCUGUACUUUGACCAGCAUAAUUAGAGACCUUAGAUUUAUGCUUUGCUCAUGUUAAUGUUAUAUAUAUGUACCCUGACAUAUAUACUACAUGUUACAACAAACAUCACAGACAUCUAAUACACAAAAUCAAAGAUAUUUAAGUCACAAAACCGUUGACCGACCAUGACUUCUGUUCUGGGUUACCCAGAAACUCAAGAACAGCUCUGACAGUGACUUUGAGCCUCUAUAACUUCUUGUUAUAUGUAGGUGAAAGCCUAAAAUUUGUUUCAUGUUAUACUACUGUAUGAGUACUACAACAUCAACUCUUGAACAAACCAAGAAUCAUCAUCAGUAGCCUUUUAAUUAGUGUUCAAACUAGUCACUCGACCAUGACCAAACUGCUGCCCAGAAACUCAAGAACACCUAUAGCGACACUUUUUGUCACUAAAGGGCUUUAGCGACAAACAUAAAUUAUUUUUCUAAAAAUAAAUUAGAAAUAAUUAGAAAUAAUUAAUAAAUAAAUAUAAAAAUAGUUUUAAAAAUUAUAUUAAAUUAUUAUAAAUAAAUUCUAAUAUUUUUAUAUAAAUUUAAUAAAUAUUUUAUAUUAUUUUGAUAUUAUUAAUAAUUAACUUAUUAAUAAAGAAAUUAGAAUAAAUUAUUUAUAAAUACUAAAUAAUUAUGGAAAAAUAUUAUUAAUGAUAUAAAAAUUAUAAUAAAUGAAUAUAAAUUAUUUAAAAAUAAUAAUCAAUGUUUUUGUAAAAUUUUAAGUAAAUAUUAAUUACUUAUAAAUAGAAAUAAAUGAUUUAAAAAUCAAAAUAAAUGUUUUAAAUACUUUAAAAUUUCUAAAAAGGUAUUUAAAUUAUAAUUAAAUUUUAUAAAUAAAAUUUAGUCCAUUUAUCAAAGGUGUUAAACACCAAACCUAAUUAAUCUAACCCGAUAUUAUAUUAAUAUUAUAAUUGAGUAUUGUUAUCAAUACUAACGUGUUAGAUUUAUAUAUAUGAACUUCGUAGGUAUUUAUUAACGAUUGAAUAACAUAACUUAACUGAUCUACGCUCAGGCAAGUUCUCUAUCCUUAAAUCUCUUAUAAAGAAAUUUUCUUAAACCUUGUUUAUUCAUUGGACAAGAUUUUUUAUCUUAAUAUGCUGUUGAUAUAAUAUACUACACCUACAAUUGAAUUGCCAAAUUAUUGUAAAGUUAUUGCUAUAGAUUCAGCAUGCUCAAAAAUGAAUUGUUUAUUCAGAUGAUAAUGUUUAUUGAGCAUAAACUGUUGUGUCAAACCAAAUUGUUUUAGUAAGACAUCUUAUACUGAAGUUGGGUAUCCCAUAAGGGAUUGAAAUUUAGUCAAUUCAUAUAUUGACGUUUAGUGUAUUUUGAGCACUGAUAGGAUGAUAUGUAUACUCCUAGGAUAUUGAAUAGGUUGAUCCCCUAUCUCAUAUCUAAAAAAAAAUUCUAAGUCUGUGUAACUGACAGAAAUAAAGAAAAAUUCCAGAAAUAGUUGAAAUAAAUAGAAAUCCAGAAAUGGUACAACUAUCAGUCGAAAUUUGAAUUAUUAUAUUUCUUCAAAUCCUGUAUUGUUAUAAAUACACAACUUGUCGAACAUGUCAUAGCUCACCCUUGCAAAUUAUUCCCUUUGCAGUUUUAGAAGGUAAUCCUGGAACUUCUGGAGUAGAUAAAGGGAAGCGUCCCUAUAUAGAUUAGAUUAUAUUCUUGUUGUUUGAAUACCCUAUAAUAAGAACUCGUUAUGAGAAUCAUGUAAUCGAAUAUUAAUAUUAUGAUAUAUAUAACAUCUUUUAUUUUCGCAACCGUGUUUUCUUACAUAUAUAGAUGUAAAAUUAGACUUCUUCGAAUCUAGUUGAGAUCCUUGGGAACUAUUUAUCUGAGUGAGGGUAUCAAUAGCAUGGACUGUUCAUGUUGUUAUUGAUACUCUGGAUUUCGGAUAGAUAGUUACUAUUGAUACGAUAGUAUAAAUUCGUUUGGCUUAGACUAUACAUCUGGGUGAGGGUAUUAGUAAUAUGGACUGCUCAUGUUAUUGUUGAUACUCUGAAUUUCGGAUAGAUAGACUCUAGUCAUAGAUACAGUUCAUAUAUCCAAGUGAGGGUAUCCAAACACAGUAAAAGUUCUCUUGAGAAUUGACAUCUGUUAUGGGAUACUGUGAAUUUUGUAUCUAUGAGAAUUAUAUCUGCUAGACCCUCUAUUUAAUGUAAUCUUAUAAUCAGAUACCAUGGGUGUAUAGAUUUAAAAGCAUUAUGUUGACUUUCUGUAAACACCAUAUCAGAUACCAUGGGUGUAUAGAUAUGGGGGCGUUACAGUAAUAAUUAGAGCCCCAAAACAAGCAAUUAUCGAAACUAUGUUUUCCUAUAAAUAAAAGCUCAUUCUCACCAAUUCAUUAAGACUCACAAGAGCAAUUAUAGAGAGAAAAUCUAUAUAGAGAAAGAAGAAGAGAAGUCUGCUACUUCAAUAUUCCAAUAUCCAGUCUUCUUCUCAUGUAAGGGGUAUUAUUUCUUUCGUAUUCGUAAGGAAAUUAUCUUUAUUCAAUAUCCGUAUAAAAUAAUAUUUUCUUCCAUACUCUGUAGUAUGUAAGUAAUAUUAUUUCAUUUUGUAUCCCUAAUUCUACACUCAUUUUGUUGAAGUAUUGUUUCUAUACUCCGUGAAAUUAGUAGAAUAUCCUUGAAAUUUGCGCUUCAUCUAAUAUCAUUUCACAAGGAUAUUUUUCUGAACAUUCUUGUUAAAUUUUAAGCUUUUCAUGUCGGAGUACUAUUCAUGGGUACUAUUCAUAUGUACGGUACUUUUCACAGAGUACUAUUCAUGGGUACUAUCAUAAGUACAGUACUAUUCAUAAAGUACUAUUCAUAGGGAACUAUUCAAAAAAUACUAUUCAAAUAAUACUAUUCAAAAAGUACUAUUCACAAAGUAUUAUUCAUAAAUUACUAUUCAUGGAGUACUAUUCCCGAAGUACUAUUCACGGGGUACUAUUCACUCGGGUACUAUUCACCUGAAGUACUAUUCAUGACAAAAAUUGAUUUCUUUUCGGUCCAAAUCAUUUUUGAUAAUAUAUUAUUCUUGAAUUUUACCCCACAAAGCAUUUUCAUGUUGAGAAUUUGGAUAUUAUUGAAUUCUGGAUAAACUAAAUUAUAAAUAUUUUAAAUUUACCCUUACUUUUAUUUAAUUGAAUUCUUAUAUCAUUGUCAUCAUCCUCAUGUUUAUAUUGUGAUGAAAGUCAUCAUUUGCCAUAGUGCAUAGAUGGACUGUUGAUUGGUAUGAUUAUAACUAGGGAUUAUUCGGUAUAAUCAUGACCCGUAAUGUUACAACUGAUCUGGCAAAAGUCCACAGUGGCCCGUAGUGAAUUGAUUGAUAGAUGUUGGUAUGAUCAUAACCAUGCGUUCUCUUCGGCCAAGGGUGCAAAGAUAAAUUAUUGUUUGGCAUGAACAUGACCGUUGAUGAAAACAUGAAUAUCCUUGGCCCGUAGUGCAUAGAUAAUUUGUGGUCGUUAUACUAAUGAAUAUCAUUGGCCCGUAGUGCAUGGAUAAUUUAGUGAUGUGGAGUAUUUAUUAAGAUGAGUCUUAACGAUAAAAUUGAUGGUAAACUUUUAAAUCAUAGAAGAUAGUAGAUAUCAUGCUCUACUUAACUCUUCUAAUGGAUUGCUUAUUCCACUAUAGUUGUUGAUCUAAAACUUGUUGUCUAUUGUAUUCUAUCAGUUGUUAUAUUGUUGAAGGCUAAGGAUAAUUUAUCCUGCAUUAUCUUAGUCAUAAUAUUUCUUGCUGGGCUAGUUAAGCUCACCCUUUUCUUUCAUUGUUCUCUUCAGGAAAUGAGAAUAUAACUGGGAUGAGUCGUGGCAUGGAGUGAUGGUCCAGGAUAAGUGGCUAUAGUAGUCCUCACUAUUCUAUGAAAUAGUGUCAUAAUGAUUAUAAUGAGGACUCCAUUAAGUGUGGAUAUUGUCUAGAAGACAAUAUUCGUGUUAAAACUCUCAUCUUAUGUUUUUUUGUAUUGUACAUGACAAUUGUAUAAAUAAGUUGUAUUUGUAUUCUGUACCAUGUAUUUGGCGACCCAAGAUGGGUGAUGUAUUCCUGUUUUGGGGGCGUCACAGUUGGUAUCAAAUCUUAGGGAUAUGAUCCGUGGCUGAUAUGUGAGACUAGAACUAGGAGGGGAGAAACGCGUUAAUCCUUCGCUAGUAUGACCUACUUAAGUUAUUUGUUAUUUAAUUGGUCGGUAAGAGUAUAGGGAUAAUAUGUGGCAUGUCAAUUAACCCUUGUUUUGUGAUAGUGUUUAAGAAUGGCAUCUGAAAAUGUUGAGAUAAACAAUGAAGCACAUGAGACCGUUGAGUCACUAACGAUCAAUAACUAGGAUAAUGUGUAUCAGAAAGUUAUAAUCCUCGUGUAAACAACAACACUGACCAAAUGAUGAACGAUGGUAUGUUUAGGAACUUUUUAGAAUUUACGGAAAACUAAACAAGAGAGACUCAUGUUCAAAAUGUAGGUGGAAACACUGCCAACUUGUAGCAUCCCCAGAUCCGGGUCCCGAAUCGCCGCGGAUCCGGUUCGCUAUUUCUACAACUGUUUGCGGAAGAUAUAAACAUAGAUUGUUUAUACAUUAAACUUUACACACUAUUCCCAAAAUCGAGUAACCUUAACUAAUACACAAUCGUGAACUGUCUAACACAUGACAAUACUAUUCUUCAACAUACUUUACAACUUAACUUCACAUUCUAUCCCAAGCUGAACUUGGCAUUAUCCUUUUCCUGUAUCUGGCCGUAUUCGCCUUAUCUGCAAUGUUUUAUCAUGAUAUAGCAAGGGUGAGCAUGAAAGUUGCCCAGCAAGUUUAAAAAAAACAAGGUAAAGAUAUAUCAUGAUUGAAAGAGUUUGAAUAAUAAGCUGGCUAUCCUUCACAAUGUAGUUGUGAAUUAGCAUGAACAAAAUUUCAAAGCUGAAUGAACAUUGAAAAUGAACAUAACAAUUAUAUCUGAACUGACUGGUAAUGAAGGUGAUCAGCCUUUCAUACCUGAUGAAUACAUGCAAUAUGUACAGAGUACAAUUCAUAAGCAUAUCUGUCUGAAACCACUCUUAAAAGAGUUUAAGUAAAAAGAACUUGAAAAACUUGCCUGAACCGUUGAUUACCGUAACGCAAUAUAAUACGCUUCUCCUGAAGACCUAAUAUUAAUAAUAUAGAUCUCCAAUAUUAGAAUAAUAUCAUCACCGUUAUAAAAUAACUUAAACACAUAAUCCUAUCAGUCUAUACAGCAUAUAAAACCUAUAAUAGAUCUUUCGGUUAGUCAUAACAUAUAGUUAAGUAUUAGACAUUAGUUUUAAGUCUUAAUAUUAUUAUUAUACUUUGAUAUUCUUUUAAUCACAUCAUAACUUAUACUUAUAAGUUAUUCAUUUUUAUAUGUUAUCCUAGUAAAUUAGAUAACAUCUUAGUAAACCGAAAUACCAUUUCAGUAAGACGGAUUUUAUUUCAGUAUCCCGAAAUCACUAUUCUUUUUCACGAAAAAUACCAAAUCAACUUAUUAUUUUUUUAUCCUUUGGUCAAACAUAUAUACAUGUAUUUCAUACAUAAAAAAUAUUUUUCCGUAAUUUUUCAAUUUCUUUUACUAUUUUUCAAAAAUCAUAAUUAGUGCGUGACUUAAGAAAAUUAGCUACCUCGUGCUUAACUCCAGAGAUGCCCAUCUUUUGACAUAACCUUAUAUAUGUUAACGUGAUGCUCCAUUUUAAAUUUCGUGGCAAUCGGAGUUGUAGAACUCCGGUUAUAGCGAUUUCCGUCGGAAAAUCACAAAAAUUGAAAUGGUCAUAACUUGGUCGUUUUAAGCCGGAAUUAGCUCAUUUUUGGACACGAGCUACAUAUUACCAUAUAUUUUCAUUUCCCAAAAGCCUGUAAUUUUUCUCAUUAACUAAAUGUCCAAAACAGCCCUCGGAAAAUUUUGGCCAGAAACUUUUUGCACUUUGGCAGUUUUGGAGUCCUUCACCAAAACUUAAAUAAAACGAAAUCUGUAACUCCGAUUAAUGAUCCGUCAAUUUUGUUGGAUUCGUAUCUUUCCGAACUACAGUUUUCAUAUAUCACAAUCCAUAUUUGGAUAUGUUUAGCUCCCGGAAUUUAGCCCGGAAGUGACUGUUCCAAAACUGUCCUUUUCACAGUUUUCUUAACUUUGUGUAGUUUGGGAGAAAUCCCAUAACUCCCUCCUCCGAUGUCGGAUUUAGUCCGUUUUGGAGUCUAUGGAAAGCUUAUUGAGUGUACUAUAACAUAUCACAAGUCCAGAAUUUUUAGAGCACUCUAACAAAUCCGAAAUUUUCUGUUUUAGGGCAGCAGUCCACUAACUCAUUUAAAACAAAAAAAACUGUUUUGGUUAUUCUUCUUUGUUCAAGCCUAUCAACCCUAAAAAUGGCAAGAUCUAACCAUAAAAUAUCAUUUAUCAUGUAGAUCUAUAGUUCUCAUGUUCAAGAUCUUAAACUUAUGGUUCAAAAUCAUAAGUUCAACACUUGAUCUAAAACACCAUAUCAAAACACUUUAACUAACAAGAGUUUUGAGUUUAGGAAAUUUUUACCUUUAGCUUCAUGACAUAUCUUUUUCUUCCAACUAUGUGAUGGAUCUUGGAUGGAAUGAAAAAUCAAAAUCUCUUCUCCUUCUUUCUUGGAGUUUCCUAACUCCCCUCUCCCUCUCUCUCUUGUCUCUCUCUUUCUUUCUUAGUUAUGUUGGAAAAUAAGAUGAGAAAAGUGAAGAAUAUGAUUUUUGUUUAGUGUAAUAAUGUAAGAAAUGUAUCUAGACAUUAGUUUGCUUGAUAAUUGAGGUGUAAUAGCAUAGUAACAUGAGUGACUUCUAGAAGCAAUUGAUUAGCUAGCAUAAUUGAAGAUUCUUAUCAACAAUGUUACUAAUAAUACACUAAUAAAACAAAAGGGUAUACUAGUAAUUUCCACAUUAAUAAAUGAUUUCUUUUUAAUUCUUAUUUAUUAUACCAAAUGUCCAAUAUGUCCCUCCUUAUUUGGGCUUAAAUUUGGGUCACCAUUUCCAUCUUUUGGGCUAUCAAUAAAUAAUAUAUUGGACUUAAAAUUUAAUUCUUUGGGCCAUGUAAAUUAACAUAGUCCAACACUCUUAAUUCUUAUCCAACCCAAAUCAUUUAAUUAGGGUUUUCAUUUUCCUCAAUUAUAACUUAAAUCCUUACUCAUGCACAUUUAUUUCCUUAACCCAAUUAGACUUGCUAAAAUUAGGUUAUAAAAUUAAUUAACUGAGAUGUAUAAAAUAAAUCUCUCAUAAUUGGUAUAUAUUCUAAAUACCAUAAUUUUCUCAUCUCAUAACCCUUAAGUUAUUAAAUUCUUCAUUCCUAAUAUAUAAUUAGGAUCACAUUAGUUUCUUUUAUUUGUUUAUAUAAUAAACAAUAUAAACCAUCACAUAAUCUUCAUAUUCCUUUACUCACCUAUUCGAACAAAAUAAUUUAAUAAAUUGUGACAUGUUCCACAAUUCUCUUAAAUUAGGUCACUAAUAUAAAAAUAAAAUAUUAGGACCACUAAAUAACGAUAACCAUUUAGGUUAUUUAAUUAUCACACCUAAUAUAUAUAUUAGGUUACAUAAUUUAAUUCUUACUUCACUUUUAUAUACAAAAUAAAUGUAUUCACAUUAUAUAAUGUAUAUUUAUUUAAUCAUACACAUAAUUCAUAUUCAUUACACACAUAACUUUUAAUCCCUUAGGGUUUUAUACAAAACAUUAGGAUUUCUAAUUUAACAAUUAGGGUUAUCCCUAAUAUAUAAUCACAAAUACUUAAGCCAUUAUAUUUAGCCUUUGACUUCCCAAAUUAGGGUUUCAAAUACUGAAUUAGGAUUUCGGAUUCCCGGUACUGAAAUUAGGGUUUCCAGAACCGAUUUCUAGGGUUUCUUAUAAAUCGUAAUAAUUUUAUAACUGAACGUUGACGUUCUAAUAAUAUUAGGGUUUGACACAGAUAUAAUUUAUCUGGUCAACACUUGACCCUUAACCACAUUCUGUACACAUAAUACCGUAAUCACAGAAUAUAUACACACAUACCCUUAAUCCUGAAUAAUUCACUAAAAGAAAUUUUAAAUCCUCAAAAUUCCUUUCUGAAAACAUCAAACACAUACACUUAUUCUCUGUCUAGGUCUAUUAUUUGACCUUAAACCAAUCAUUUAAGAUUUUAAUAAUUUUCUAAUUUCUCGGGUUGUCACAUUCACCCCUUCUUCUAAGAAUUUCGUCCUCGAAAUUAAAGCAUCCUAACCUCUGCUCAUUCUCUUGAUCAAAACUAGGUUUUCAAUUUAACCUUUACAAUUUCCUCAUUCGAGGAUUUCUCAUCUAUUAUCACAUUUCACCAUAACUACUCACUAGGAGUUUACAUCUUCUAAACAUUCAUCAAAACUAGGUUGUCAUAAUAACCUUUAUUUAAUCAUCUCAGAUUCUACUCGUACGCAACGAGUUUACACUAUUUCAUAUCCAUCAUCACAUUCUACCACAACAUUACUUUGAAGAGUUAAAAAAAACUUUUCAUAUCUGUCUGAGGGAUCAUAAAAAUUAUGAACUUUGAACUCCGAGGUUUAGGGGUAUUUCUACCUGCUACCUCUUUCAAUUAAGAAAGAAAGGUACUCUACCUCUUAAACAUUUCUUUAAUAGGUAUGUUUACAAUCACGAAGAAGGUAAACUACCGAUUCUGGUACUUUAGAUGAUCAGUCUAUUGUACCUUAGUAAUCCGAACGACUAUAUGCGUCCUUAAAUUGGAAUAUUCUAUCCAAUUAGUAUAUCCCCAUUUUCAGGGUUGUUCACCUCAGACUUAGUAUAGGAUUCCGCACCAAAACAAUUUGGUUCGGGAAAUUUCUUUCAAUGAACACUUAGAGUUUUCAUAAACAUUAGUCUAGCUGAAUCGAAUAGCAUAGACUCAUAUCGAUAAUUCAGUUCAAUAGAAUUAUUUAAGUAUAGCCAAACCCCGUUGGCAAAUUAAAAUUUUGAAAACAUUUUUCGAGAAUGACGUCAUGAUGCCGCACUGUAUUUACAGUCCGUUGAGGAUUCCGUCAUUUGGUGAUUUUAUCAUACUACAUCAUACCAUAGUGGGUUGACGAUCCUGAGAUCACAUCCAACACUAAGUAAUACUGCAUUGAUGACUCCAUCAUUUUUUUAUCAUCUCUGCACCAGGUUGCAUGGUACAUAAGUGAUAAAUAAAAACAACUUUUGAUACUUCAAAUCAUUCGCGUCUAGCCGAAAUAAGUAGCAUAGACUGUACUUUAAACCGUUUCAAAAAUGUUUGCAAUUCAGUUUUAUCAUCUCAACAAGUAACGAGGUGUCGAUGGCCCAAAGUCCACACAUACACAAUAAUCAUCAGGAGUUGAGAAUAAAAAUUCAUUUUUUCAAAAGCACAUAGUGCGUAUUUAGCUUGAUGUCAAAAAUUCGAAGUCUAGCAUAGCUAGAAGAUUUGGAAUACCUAUGCUUCCAUCAUCAACUUCACUUUUUCUACUGAUCCAUUACUUAAUAGAUCUAUCUAUUCUUAUAAUCCUCAAUACUUCUUUCACACAUAACUAUACCCAGUUCGUCAAACUUACCACACUUAUGAGUUCAGGAACUUACCACAAUCAUAUGAGUUUAAGAACUUUCCUAGACAGACCUUUGGCGUCCAUUCGCUGAGGGGUCCAUAAACAUUUCAUAUAAUCAUGAGUCACGAACGUACCAUAAGUAUGAGUUUUAAGAACUCGUACUUAACCUUAUAUCCUCUAUCUAUGACCUAUCUACCUGUUAUACACAUGAGAAAGGAAUCACCCUCUGAACAUGCAUAUAACAAAUAGCGCGACAUAAACAUUUCAAUGAUUAUCAGUGCCAGAAACUAAGUGGUUUUUACACCAAGUACAAUUCAGCUCCCAUACGAAGAAUCAUACAACUCAGCUGCCGACAUGAGUCCUCAAUUGAAUCCCCACCUAACACUAACCCCUUCUCCAUACGAAUUUAAUUCGUAUUUAUAAUUCUCUUCUGGAUCUGUACCAAUUUAUAGUACAAUUCAUACACAGCAAUCUUGCUGUAAACUUUUCAUCAUUCUCUGGAUCUUUCUUCAUACCAUAACCUUAUCAGAUCACGGAGUGAUCUCAUCGUAUAUAUUACGAUUCAUUGCUAUUCUGUGAUCGUUUUGUUUUACGAUCUCCCAUCCUUACACUUGUAAUCUCUUAGACUCUAUCUAUCCACUUCCUAUACUUGGUACACAUCGAGUCUCUAACAGUUUUCAAUAUGGUACGCUGAGUGGUUUCCCACAAACAACCAACAAACUAGGUUCCGAGUUGCUAGUUCGUAUAUACCUCCGCUCUAUGAAGGAAUCGUUUAGCCCAGAUACCAUACAUCAACUAGUUUCGAGUACAAUGGUACCAUACUUAAACCUAACUUUCUGACCCUGCGAGAUUCUUCAACUAACUCUAUGUGAGUUAGUACUUAUCCUAAUCACUGCGGUUAUUGGUCUAAGGUAUUGCUACCUAAGCUUCAUAACCAACAGCUUUGAUACCAACUGUAGCGUCCCCCAAAUCCGGGUCCCGAAUCGCCGCGGAUCCGGUUUGCUAUUUCUACAACUGUUGCGGAAGAUAUAAACAUAAAUUGUUUAUACAUUAAACUUUACACACUAUUCCCAAAAUCGAGUAACCUUAACUAAUACACAAUCGUGAACUGUCUAACACAUGACAAUACUAUUCUUCAACAUACUUUACAACUUAACUUCACAUUCUAUCCCAAGCUGAACUUGGCAUUAUCCUUUUCCUGUAUCUGGCCGUAUUCGCCUUAUCUGCAAUGUUUUAUCAUGAUAUAGCAAGGGUGAGCAUGAAAGUUGCCCAGCAAGUUUAAAAAAAACAAGGUAAAGAUAUA